GGGAGGGGCGGGGGCGCGCUGUGGUGCGGGGCUCGGCGCGGUGCCCGCCGCCGUGUGGGGAGCGGGGGCCGCCGCCGCCCUUCGCCUGAGGGGAGCCGAGCGGAGCGGAGGGGGCCGGCGGCGGUUGGGGCAGAGUGAAAUUCCAUUUAAGAGACGUCUGACUAUUAAGAUAACCCGUUCCAGUGACAGCAUGUAAAGUGAAGUUCCUCUACAGAACUUGGCGGCCAGCUGGAGUAGUUAAAGAAGACCUGAAGCAAUGCUGGGAGCGCUCAAUGCUCCAUAUGAUUAUGGCUGCGCACCUUUUGCCCCCAACUGCCAUCUGCAUUUUCACUGGACCCAACCCUGUAAGCAAAUCAUCAAGCAGUGGAGGCUUGAGGUCUGGCUGCUCAAAGAAACUGCUAUCAUUUUACGAGGAAACAUGGCCUCGCUUGCACCAAAAUCUUUCCUUCCUGCAUUCCUCCUACCACAGCUGGCUGACAUCCUGCACAGAGCAGGCUGCUGAGCAGAGACAAAAUACACAACAUCUGCUGCCUUGCAUCUCUCAGCUUUUUCCACAGCAGCAAGCAUUAUGCAGUUCCCAGAGUGAAUUACUUGAUGGGAAGAAAAGAGGCAUCCUUUGGGGAUUCUGUGAUAAAACUGCUUCAAACAAAUGAACAAAAACUAUGACAGAAAUUCUACUAUCCAUCUGACUGUAGAUUUUUGCAUUACAAAGUUCUUGCGGUCCCAUCUCCACAUCACGCUGCAAAUCCACUGCAGUGACAGGCUGUGUCCAUCCGGCCUUCCAGUUGGACUGCUGAUCAGAUCAAUCUGUGACUAUUUGUCCAGUUCCAGAAAAGCCAUUUUUUGUUUUCAGUUGGUACAUCUCACUGUCACUCACUAUCCACUCUCUUCAAGCUGUCACAACUGCUUUUGGCCAAGCCUAAGCCUGAGAAGAAGGGACCAAAUACUGGCUGAGUCACUUCUGUUGCGUGCCAGCGAGUCGCUUGUUCACUGAUUGGCCACCUGCUUUUGAUCUACGUUAUAUCAUACCAGGGAGCUGCUCCAGCUGGCCAGGGACUGGGGAAUGCGGGCUGUAGUCAAGGAUACCUGCAAAGCACUGGGAACUGCAGCGAAGAGGCUUUGGAGAGAGAUGCAGAGAAAGGCAAAUCAGAGGGAAGACGAGGGAAAAAUAGAGGCAAGGAGCCAAUUUCUGAUCUCAGCAUCACUGAUGUCACCAGUCAGAAUCUGGUCCUCAGAGUGCUGAGGAAAGGAGAAUAGAAGCAGGUCAGAGGAGAAGGCGACAGACAAGCCGAGGUGACAGAGAGGAGAUAAUUAAUCAUGUCUCAGCUGUAAUCUUAAUGACUACUCUGCUUUAACACUUUUAAUGCCUCUUUCUUAGCCAAGAGCGCAAAAUUAAUAAAACGUUUCCAAGAGGGGAUGGGCA
RNAcentral lists this long non-coding RNA (1423 nucleotides) under Apteryx owenii (little spotted kiwi). RNAcentral describes it as "lncRNA (ENSAOWG00000009726.1)". Lineage: Eukaryota; Metazoa; Chordata; Aves; Apterygiformes; Apterygidae. The record is from RNAcentral.